This 106-nucleotide small nucleolar RNA is filed under the name Echinops telfairi (small Madagascar hedgehog). Its description in RNAcentral is "Small nucleolar RNA SNORA61 (ENSETEG00000025383.1)". The record is from RNAcentral. Lineage: Eukaryota; Metazoa; Chordata; Mammalia; Afrosoricida; Tenrecidae.
ACUGUCCAUAUUCCUUACUUAUCAGACCUAAACACUGGUCUGAGUGCUUAUAAAAUGAGGAAAAGCAAAGCUGAAACUGACUUAAAUUCUUCCAAGUCAGGCAAGC